Molecule: long non-coding RNA, 806 nt
Organism: Enhydra lutris kenyoni (northern sea otter)
Lineage: Eukaryota; Metazoa; Chordata; Mammalia; Carnivora; Mustelidae
Exons: 4
Source: RefSeq, a predicted model, not a curated record
UCUGUUGGGUUGUGUAGACAUUAACCUUAAAUAAGUCAUCUGGGCUUUUCUUUUUCAACACUUGCUUUUAAAAAUACUGCUGGAUAUUAAGGAACUCUUGAAGAUCUCUUUGAAGGCUUACCCAGGACAUCCAACUGCACGGUAAAGGUGGCUUCUCCUGCUCUAUUCUUGGCAACACACACAUAAGCACCUGCAUCUGAAGUUCUGACCACUUCAAAGAUGAGUGAAUGAAAACCCUUUUCAGACACUAUCAUUUUGUGAAAAUCAUCUGAUUGAACUGGUCUUCCAUUCAGAUACCAUGACACAUCAGGAGCUGGCAGUCCGCUUACCUGGAAAGGAAAACACAAGAAGGAGAUGACAGAAUUUUAAAUUAUAUCAUCACUGGAACCUAUUUGUCCAUUUAUAAAUUUAAACAAUUCCAGUAUCUGAGUGGGUUUGUGGUUCAGAAUGCGAAGGAAGAUCUUAAAAAGUGAAUUUGAACUGUGGUUGUUGCCUGGACUCGGCAUUCAAAUGCAACAAACUGACCGCUGGUUGUCGAAAUGUCUUGAAGAUGCUGAACAAAAACAGAAUUCACAGAAUGGAAGAAACUUUCAUCAUAUGCAAUGAUUUGGGAUGCCAAUGGUAAUCCUUACUGGCAAUAUGAUACAGAGCAUGAGAAAGGCUUAUUUAUAACAAAAUAACUAGUGAUUUUGAUGAAAUUAAGCCCCCCAGUCAGUACCCUGCUUUAGUGGCCGUUCAUGGGCAGGUGUGGAGUGGUGAAAAAUUGGUAUCACCUAACGAGCACAUUUCCAGCUGAGGCUGAACAA